RNAcentral lists this long non-coding RNA (1342 nucleotides) under Helianthus annuus (common sunflower). RNAcentral describes it as "sRNA HanXRQr2_Chr15g0717981". The record is from RNAcentral. Lineage: Eukaryota; Viridiplantae; Streptophyta; Magnoliopsida; Asterales; Asteraceae.
GUUUGUUAAUACCCGGGAAAACUAUUUGGUGACGAUACUUGUUACAGCCUUUUUUUCCAUUGCCAAUCCAUCACAAAAAAAAAAUAAUUUUUUCGACAACCAUGAAAACCCAAAAAAAACAGACACGGGAUACACACUGAUUAGCGUUUCAGAUUCAUCACAAUUCACAUUAGGCCAAGUUUCAUUGCCAAAAAAAUAAUUUUUUCCAUUGCCAAUCCAUCACAAAAAAAAUAAUUUUUUCUGCUCCUCUCUCUCUCUCUCUCUCUCUGGCGAUUCAAGAACACGAUUUCACAAGAUCUAUGAAGUUUGAACAGAUCGAUGAAGAUUCGGACCUCCCAGAUUCGAUUUCCGGCUUUUAUUGGCGUUUUGCAACAUUCGUCAAAGGUCAUGGUUUAAAGACUAGGUAACGGUUUGAGAAGAGUUCAAGAUCGAGCUAUUGUUUUGUAGUAUGAAGGGGUAUGCAUCUUCCGUCAUAAAUUCUUUCAGGAUCUAUUUGGUAAGCCUUUCUUUCAGAUGGGACAGAAAGGCAUCGACUCCUAUCAUAGCUCUUUCCUUGGAUCGGUUGUUUGCAGGAGAAAGUGAGGAGAAAGUUGUGGUUGUCAAAGGCGAAGUAGAAGAAUAUAAAGAGAAUGUGAGGGCGGUUGUCAAAGGAGGUGGUAUAGUGUUUUGUAGAAAUUAGGCUGCUGGUUUUGGUUUUCAGUUAGAAGCGGUUGAUUAGUAUAGACAUGUUGAGAAGAUACUAUCUGGAGAUGGAUCUGGAAGGUUGCAGGAUCGAGUGAAGGAAACGCUAAAGGAGUUUAUGUGGGCUACACAGAUGAUACUUUUGUGCCCGGCCAAGAAUUUCAGGUGCUCCUACUAACAACAAAGUCACUGCGGUCCUUGAAAAGGCAAGCUCAACCCGCCAGUUAGGACAGAGUCGUGGCAGAGAAGAUAGGUUUUAUAAUCCGGAAAAAGCGAGAAGAAACCAUCAAAAUCAGGAUCAACUCCGAUGAGCACAAAGUGAUGCCACUCCAAACCAAAAUCUAUGACGUUGCCAGGCCCUGGGGAGGCUGAGAACCGAGUUGUGAAGUCAUUUAAAGAGGCAUUAGCAAAACACAAAUUGGAUCGACGCACUUUAGGUCUUUCAAAAUGUCUGAAGGAGAAAGAAUUGGUGGCACUUGCGGCCAACCAGGACCUUUCUUUUGUGUAUAAUUUAAAACCCAAGCACCACCAAAGGAGACUAUGAAUUGUAUAGGUAACUAGUUAAUUGCCCUGCCCGCGUUGCGAGGCGUUAAAUCGAAUAUUUCUUAGUUUCAUAACAUGUACACAUGUAUUUUAGUUACUUGUAUAUACUAUUUAUAAC